UGGGGAAUUUUGGACAAUGGGGGCAACCCUGAUCCAGCCAUUCCGCGUGAGUGAAGAAGGCCUUCGGGUUGUAAAGCUCUUUUGUCCGGAACGAAACGGCUACGUCUAAUACACGUGGCUACUGACGGUACCGGAAGAAUAAGCACCGGCUAACUACGUGCCAGCAGCCGCGGUAAUACGUAGGGUGCGAGCGUUAAUCGGAAUCACUGGGCGUAAAGCGCGUGUAGGCGGCCUGCUAAGUCUGAUGUGAAAGCCCGAGGCUCACCCUCGGAAGUGCAUUGGAAACUGGCAGACUGGAGUCCCGGAGAGGAGGGUGGAAUUCCUGGUGUAGCGGUGAAAUGCGUAGAUAUCAGGAGGAACACCGGUGGCGAAGGCGGCCCUCUGGACGGUGACUGACGCUGAGACGCGAAAGCGUGGGGAGCAAA
RNAcentral lists this ribosomal RNA (425 nucleotides) under uncultured bacterium. RNAcentral describes it as "bacterial SSU rRNA". It matches the Rfam family "Bacterial small subunit ribosomal RNA", at positions 355 to 772 of the family's 1533-position model. The record is from RNAcentral.